Molecule: long non-coding RNA, 559 nt
Organism: Homo sapiens (human)
Lineage: Eukaryota; Metazoa; Chordata; Mammalia; Primates; Hominidae
Source: Ensembl
AAGUCGGAGAUUAAGAGCCGAGGAGCAGAGAAGGGUGUUCCCACAGCUCAUCUUGGAAGAGGGGUCCCAGAGAGGACUUAGCCUGGGUCUUGGCCUUGAAGAGCUUCCAGCCUGGUGUGGCCGACUUCUACUGAGACCUCCUCAUUCAUUUUUUGGCCACCUGUGGAGUAGAUUGUGGGAGCCCAGAGAAGGGUGUUGUGGAUUCUUCCUGGAGAUCAGACCGGAAAGCAUUCCUAGGAGAAGCAGAGGCAGAGUCUCACUAUGCUGUCCAGGCUGGUUUCAAAUUCCUGGAGUCAAGCAACCCUCUUACCUUGGCCUCCCAAAGCGCUGAGAUGUCAACAGAGGGAAAGAGUUGAAGGCAGGGCUGCUCUGAAUAAUCUUGUACCAGAAUCCUGGGUCCAUUUGUGGGAGUUUCUCAGGGGGACAUAAAUCCAGGAGAUGAGUUGCUGGUUGUAGGACAUGUUCAUUUGCACCUUUACUGAAUGUGAUGGAGGCAGCCUGUUGUGGUUUAAAGAUUCAGGCUCCCUUCCCACAGGGUAAAGUGGAUACCAGGAAGUGG